Zalophus californianus (California sea lion) is the source of this 7829-nucleotide RNA transcript. It is a transcript of the gene named cyclin and CBS domain divalent metal cation transport mediator 3, with no coding region annotated. Lineage: Eukaryota; Metazoa; Chordata; Mammalia; Carnivora; Otariidae. The record is from RefSeq and is a predicted model, not a curated record. The transcript is spliced from 9 exons.
AUUUACAAAAUAUGUAUUAUCAAGGCUGUUGUCCCAGGAGCUAGAGAGUAGCAGCUGCUGUGAGAUGGGGAUGGGGCAAGUGUGCUCAACUGCCACAGUUAGGAAUUUGUAAAAAUGGACACCACAGUCUUCUGCCUGCAGGUACCAGACAGGGCGGUUAGAGGGGACUGAUAGUCCCUCCUCUCCCCCCUGGGGGCUGAAGGAGAAAGGAGCCUGAUCCAACAGUAUGAUCGCCAUGCUUCAUAACAUGCAGCUGCUUCUUUGUCCUUGCUCAUGAGCUGGUACUCGUGCAGUGCCCAUAGGUACUGUGGCUACGGUGUGUAAUAGAGUGUGCUGGGGCCAGGCCCAAGCAAGCCAGGCUUACCAAAGCAGACAAAUUGGGGCUAAUGUUUAAAAAAAGGGAUGCACUUAGGGAGAAAAAGGACAUUGUAGAUAAAAUAACAGAUGCAAAAAGCAGGUGGACACGAGAAUAAAUUUCAUCUGACCAUAUGUUCCACACAUGGGUAAGCCCCUGCUACAUGCCAGGUGCCAUCAACCCCUCAGUGAGUGUAGUGAGGAAGAGUCUCUGAGGGAGACAGUCACACCACGACCUUUUGAUUUCCUUUCUCUUCCACAUGGAACACUUCUCCCAAGUCUUUGUGAGGCUCACCCCCUGACUUCAUCUAAGCUUCCGUUCAAAUGUCACCUCCUUGGAGAAGACUUCCCUGGUCAGCGCAUCUAAAACAGCAUGGCCCCAAUCCCUCUGUCCAUUUCCUUAUCUUGCUUUGUUUUUCUCCACAGCACUUAUUGCCAGAUAUAAAAUGAGGAUUUGUAUAUUGUGUGUUGUUCCCACACUAGAACCUAAGCUCUGGCAGGGCAGGGCCUUUCUCAUUCCCACAUAGUCCCAGCACCAGAAUGGUACCUGGUACAUUGCAGGAAAUACUUGUUGAAUGAAUGAAUGAAUGAAUGAAUGGGUCUUACAAAAAGGUGAAUACUGGAUUGCUAUUCAGUGCUAUUAGGGAAGAGCACAUAGCUCCCAUAACCUUGACCCAACCUAGUCAAGAUGGUCAAGGAAGACCAGCUGGAGUAAGUGAUACUUGCAGACUUGAGAAAUAAGCAGGAAUUAGCCAGUGAAGUCAUCACAAUAGUUAUGAGUUUAAAACUCAAGAAUAAGUAUUUAGGUGAAACAUGGAAAUGUCUUGAACCAAAUGAGCGGUAAGGAAAAUCGCCCAGGGAGGGUCAAUGAGGGACCUGAAGGUCAAGUGGCACGUGUCUCCAUUGAUGCAAUGACUACCCAGGGGAUGGGGGUAAAGAAUGGUGCAGAGCCAAUGAAGAAAGAAGCUGGAGAAGUACUGUUGAGGCCUCUCUUGUUAACAGAAAAUCACUCCUUGAGCAGCUUUGCCCUACUGGAUUCUUUCUGUCUUUGGGUAUCCACAGUUUAAAUGACCAUUUGUGUUUCCAAGUGCGAUCCAGUUGUCCUACCCAAAGAUUUUCUCCAAAAAAUGAAUUACUGGUUGUUUUCCAAGGGCACCUGAGACCAGAUCCAUACGGAGUUUUUCCUGUCUUUGCUCUGGAACUGUUCUUUGCUAAUUAGUAACUUUUCCGGGUAUAUAACUUUCAAGGAUGUCAUCCAUUCUAUUUUAAUGUCAGCAUUUUAUCUGGACUUGGAGAUGGAAAUGUGAACUAAAGGGGCUGAAUCCAUAGUUUUUUUUCUUCAAAGGAGGCAUGCUGAUCCAGUGCAAAGGCUCAGUAGUAGAGUCAUUAUUGCUUCUGCUGGUGGCUUAUUCUGUAAUCCGCAAGUGAGGCGUAGCAUCCUCUAGAUAAUAAAAACUGAAAACGUGGGAGACAUGGUUGGCCUAGUCACAGCGCUGAAUUUAUAAUGUUGAAGAGACAUUCUUAGCAUCCUUUGAAGAGUUUUUCCACAAAGUAUUUUUUCUUUUGGUCAUUUGCCAUGGAUUUGCUCAUUUUUGCACAUUGCAUUCCACACAUUUUACUUAACUGUGGCCACAGUGCCUAUACUUUUUCUUAUUAUUUUCAUGACCUAGCAAAUGUAUUUCCGUAGACUCUUUAUGAAGAUUUUAAAUGACAUGAAUAUGAGCACCCUUAUCAAAAGUCUACUUUGUUAGGAACUUUGAAAAUACAUAAAAACGUAAAGAAAAUACAAAAACAAUCUGGAUCCCUGUAGAAAAAAGCCUUGUUCAGUUUGUCUAUUUCCUUCCAAUCAUAUAGAGAUCAUACACAAUGGGUGAAAAACAUUCCAUCCUGUCAAGACCGCCUCCCGGGCCGGUCUUGUCUUCUAAAUAACUCUCUAGUAAGGAUCCUCUUGAAUAGUUCGUGUUGUUCCUGAGGAAGUAUUUUUCCAAGGAUUAUCUGCUAGAAGUGGAGUGACCAGGUAACAGUAAUUUCUGACAGAGCUGCCCUCUGCUAACGUGGCUGGGAUGAUGACCAGGCAGGUCGUGUUGGAAUCCUGCAUCCAUGCUAAGUCAUGCUUCACCUUUCUCCUGUAGAAGUAGCUCCGAGGGUCCAACGAGGUAGUGAUUUCCUGUGUUUACAUAAUUACCAUCCUUCUCCCUGGCAGGAAUGCAAGUUCCUUGAAGGCAAAGGGCUGUGUCUCACGUCCCCAGACCUGUAGCACAGUCGGGCACAAUCUUCAACAAACUUGAGCUUCCCAACGUCCGGUCACCGGUUCUUUCAGCUCUCCUUGCCCCUAGGCCAGUGGUUCACGGGGCCCUUUCCUAAGAAACGGUACAUCUGCCACACACUUGAAAUCUCUGCCUGCAAGCCGCUCCGCUCCGCGCCCCGAGUCAGGGACUUCCCAGAGCACAAGUGCGGCAUCCGGGCGCGCCGGCACGGCCUGUGGGAACUGGACGCCCCGCUCGCCGCCCCGCGCGUCCGGGCGCUGACCACCUCUCGCCCUGGGAGUCCCGACCGAGCCCGCGGGGCCGAGAGCCCCACGCCCCCGGCCCGCCCCGGGAUCGCGCCGCCGCUUGUUUACUCCCCGGCGCAGCCUAGUCCGACCCUGGGGCCCGCCCUCGUCCGCCGCCUAUUGGCGGAGGAGGCGCCAACGCUAGCGACGAUUGGUCCAGGGAAGGCGGAGGGGUAGGCUGCGCGGGAGGCCGAGAGGGGGCAGCAGGCGAUGGCGGCGGCAGCGGCGGCGGCGGGUUGUCUAGGCUGGUUGCUCGCUGCGCUGUGCCUGGGCAACGCCGCCGGGGAGGCGGCGUCGGGCCCGCGAGUUUUGGGCGUCUGUCUGGAGGAGGACGGAGCCGCGGACGCGGGGUGGGAGCGCGGAGGAGAGGUGCGGGCCGCACCGGAGGCCACCUUCCGCUUACGCCUCUUCGGCUCCGGCUUGGCCAACAGCUCCUGGUCCUGGGUGGCCCCCGAGGGGGCGGGCUGCCCCGAGGGCGGGUCGGCCGCGGCGCCCGAGGAGGCGGCGGCCCCCACGGGCGAGUGGCGCGCACUGCUGCGCCUGCGCGCCGAGGCUGCGCGCCCGCACUCGGCGCUGCUGGCCGUGAGCGGGGAGCCGGGCGGCUCGGCGGCCCGGGAGGCGGCGGCCCCAGCGGGCGAGUGGAGCGCGCUGCUGCGCCUGCGCGCCGAGGCCGUGCGCCCGCAUUCGGCGCUACUCGCCUUGCGCGUGGAGCCAGGCGGCUCGGCCGCCGAGGAGGCGGCGCCGCCCUGGGCGCUGGGCCUGGGGGCGGCGGGGCUGCUGGCGCUGGCGGCGCUGGCGCGCGGCCUUCAGCUAAGCGCGCUGGCGCUGGCGCCCGCCGAGGUGCAGGUGCUGCGCGAGAGCGGCUCGGAGGCCGAGCGCGCGGCGGCGCGGCGCCUAGAGCCCGCGCGGCGCUGGGCCGGCUGCGCCCUGGGCGCGCUGUUGCUACUGGCCAGCCUGGCGCAGGCGGCGCUGGCGGUGCUGCUGUACCGCGCGGCCGGCCAGCGCGCCGUGCCCGCCGUGCUGGGCAGCGCGGGGCUCGUGUUCCUGGUGGGCGAGGUGGUACCGGCUGCCGUGAGCGGGCGCUGGGCGUUGGCGCUGGCGCCGCGCGCGCUGCUCCUCAGCCGCCUGGCCGUGCUGCUGACCCUGCCGGUGGCGCUGCCCGUGGGCCAGUUGCUGGAGCUGGCGGCGCGGCCCGGGCGGCUGCGCGAGCGCGUGCUGGAGCUGGCCCGCGGCGGCGGCGACCCCUACAGCGAUCUCAGCAAGGGCGUGCUGCGCUGCCGGACCGUGGAGGACGUGCUCACGCCGCUCGAGGACUGCUUCAUGCUGGACGCCAGCGCCGUGCUGGACUUCGGCGUCCUGGCCAGCAUCAUGCAGAGCGGCCACACGCGCAUCCCAGUGUAUGAGGAGGAGCGCUCCAACAUCGUGGACAUGCUCUACCUCAAGGACUUGGCCUUCGUGGAUCCCGAAGACUGCACGCCGCUCAGCACCAUCACCCGCUUCUACAACCAUCCGCUCCACUUUGUCUUCAACGACACCAAACUGGACGCUGUCCUGGAGGAGUUCAAACGAGGGAAGUCCCACCUGGCCAUCGUGCAGAAGGUGAACAACGAGGGUGAAGGUGACCCCUUCUACGAGGUACUGGGCCUGGUCACCCUGGAGGACGUCAUUGAGGAGAUCAUCAAGUCUGAGAUCCUGGACGAGUCUGAGGACUACCGAGAUGCCGCCGUGCGGAAGAAGGCUGCUCCUCUGAGUGCCCCUCUCAGGCCGAAAGAGGAAUUCUCCCUGUUCAAGGUGUCUGAUGAUGAACAUAAAGUGAAAAUCUCGCCUCAGCUGCUCUUGGCCACCCAGCGCUUCCUGUCCCGAGAGGUGGAUGUAUUCAGCCCCCUGCGAAUCUCCGAGAAGGUCCUGCUGCACCUGCUGAAGCAUCCCAGCGUCAACCAGGAAGUGAGGUUUGACGAGAGCAACCGUCUGGCUGCACACCAUUACCUGUACCAGCGCAGCCAGCCGGUGGACUAUUUCAUUCUCAUCCUGCAGGGCAGGGUUGAGGUGGAGAUCGGGAAAGAGGGCCUGAAGUUCGAGAAUGGGGCCUUCACCUACUAUGGAGUGUCUGCCCUGACAGCACCAUCCUCAGUUCACCAGUCCCCGGUGUCCUCGCUCCAGUCCAUCCGCCACGACCUGCAGCCCGAGCCAGCCGAUGGUGCCCGCUUGUGUGCGUACUGUCCUGACUACACCGUGAGGGCCCUCUCCGACCUGCAGCUCAUUAAGGUCACGCGGCUGCAGUACCUCAAUGCACUCCUGGCCACUCGGGCUCAGAACCUGCCACAGUCCCCGGAGAACGCAGACCUCCAGGUCAUCCCAGGCAGCCAGACCAGGCUCCUCGGUGACAAGACAGCCCCAGCAGCAGCCUUCCCCGUAGACCUUUCCCUCUUUGGCACAUUUGGAAACUGCAGUUGAUAAUUGACUGUGGACUAGUGAGCAUUUUUUGUUUUCAGAAAACACCCAAGGGCCCAACCACAGCAGACCCGGCCUCCCAGCGGAGGAGAGCCCUGGGCGGAACCCAGGGGUUUAACUGCUUGCCAGGCAGCCCCAGGUCUGGGGAAUGGACAAGCACGUGGGGAACUGGAGAGCCGAGGAGUAGCUUGUCAGCCUAUCCCCAUCCCCUCCAGGCCACGUUUUAGAUGGCCCUUAUAGAUGUGGGUCCUGGGCUGUCCUCAGAGCCAGACCUCAAUGCCGGGAGCCUUCAGCGGGUCCUGCCCUCCUUUAGGAAAUGGGGGUCAGUUGGGGCACAGCCCUCCAGGCCUGCUUCUGAAGGGAAUGGAAAGACACUGUCAUCUCCGGUCCCCAGGACCCAGCCUUCUCCCUGUGACAGUGCAGUGUAUUUAUACCUCUUUGGGCCAAGCCAUGAUGUGAGUGCACGGUUACUGCCUUUACGUGGCCGUGACCUGUACUCGCUUCGCUUUCAAUUUGCCAACCUUCUGCUGCCGGCAGCACUUUGAGCAAACCAGGAGCACUAGUUGGGGCUGGGGGGGUUCACAUCCUUGGCCGUAGCCACAGUGAACGAUUUGGCUUCCCUUACAAUGCCGUGUUUCAGAGCACGCGCCCCAGCCUGUCCCAUGUGCCAAACCUCAAAGCUCGAUGACCCACCGGUAUGUGCCACUGUCCUGCUCCCUCCUGUGGAGGUCGCUUCUCUGAGCCCUGUGCUCAGAGCCCUGAGCAAGAGAGCUGGCCCCCAGUGGCACUGAGGAGGCCUGCUCCUUCUGCUUCUCUGCCUGUCUUGCUUAGUUGCUUCUAACGGUAUUGUCACUUUCUGUGUUUGAAGAAGAGAGGUCACCCAUGGGAGGAAGGGGUGUGCUGCCCCUAACUCUUUCUCAGUUGCUCGAUCCCAGGGAGAGGAUCCAGCCGUUAGACCUACUUUGUACCUUCUUCCUAGGCCUCCGUGGAGAGCUGGAUGGCUGUCAUUUGCACGGAGAGAGGCAGGGGAGGGAAGGGUUGGUUAUGGAGCAGGUAGAACCUCAUCCCCUUUCUUUAAAAAAACAAAAACCCAUCAGUUUUUCUUGUAUCUCAAACAUUUCAGCUGUUUGCUUUUUUGCUGUUCUUAGCUGCGGGGUUUUAGAGAAUUGGGAACAAGAAGGCAUUUAUGUUUUUCUUCUGGCUUACCCAUUUUUACCUUCUGCAGUUCUUCAACUGUGCAGAAACUGGGGCGUCACAGAGACGUAGGAUUGCAGACUGGAUGUGGGGGAGGAUUUCUGGAACCUUUCUCAAAGGAAUUUGGGUCCCUUAUCUGGGACCGUUGGGAAUGAAGGCCAAAGAACAAUGGCAUGCUCGCUUAGAAACUUCUCAAGGAGUUCUAAGAGCAAACCCGGGUGGGAAGCAUAUUUUACAAUCAUCUCUCUCCAGAACAGUGGUUCUUAACCUUGGCUGCACGUUAGAAUCACCUGGCAAGUUGAAAAAUACUGAUACCUGAUACUUGGGGUCUCCUCUUCCAGGGAGCCUGAUUUAAUUGAUCUGGGCAAGAGGAUUUUAUUUUUUGAAACAAUUUUAAUUUAAAAAAAAUUUUUUUUUUUUUAAAGUGAGCUCCUACCCAACAUGGGUCUUGAACUCCUGACCCUGAGAGCAAGAGUCGCGUGCUCUACUGAGUCAGGCAGGCACCCCUGAAAAAAUUUCAGAGUUACAUAAGAGUGAAGGGUUAUAUCCGUACACACUUCACCCAGCUUCCCCGAAUGUUAACAUCUUACAUAUAACCUGGUACAUCUAUCAGAACUAAAAAAAUUAACAUUGGUACAAACCUGUUAACUAAUUACCGACUUUAUUUGGAUCUUAAUGGUUUCUCCAAUAAUGUCCUUUUUCUGUUGCAGGAUCCAAUUCUGGAUACCAAGUUGCAUUUAGAGUUACUGCUUUUUUCUAAGACUUUAUUUUGAAACAAUUACAGAUCCAUAGGAAGUUGCAAGCUAGAGGGACCCUUCACCCAGUUUUCCUCGGUGGUUACUCUUACGUAGUUAGAACACAGUAUCAAAACCUCGAAGCUGACACUGGCACGAUGUGGAUGAUCAUUCUCUGUCCUCCCGGGUCGGUCUGUGUAGCUGCCACUGCCCUCUCGGUAAAGAGCCGUCCCACCACGCGGGGCUCUCCCUCCCAUCAGAGCCAUAGCACCCCCUCAGCUUCCGUCCCUAACCCCUGACAACCACUAACCUAAGAUUUUGUCAUUUCAAGAAUGUUGUGCAAGUGGGGUCAUAUAGUACGUGACCAUCUGGGAUUGGCUUUUUUCACUCAGAAUAUUCUGGAGAUGCAUCCAGGUUGUUGUGUGUGUCUAGUUCAUUCCUUUUGAUUGCUGCGUAGUAGUCCUCGAUAUGUUCACUGUCCCGAUGAAGGACAUCUGGGUGGUUUCCAGUUUUUGGCUAUUCCAAAUAAAGCUGCUAUGAACGUU